This 304-nucleotide ribosomal RNA is filed under the name uncultured bacterium. Its description in RNAcentral is "bacterial SSU rRNA". It matches the Rfam family "Bacterial small subunit ribosomal RNA", at positions 28 to 332 of the family's 1533-position model. The record is from RNAcentral.
GACGAACGCUGGCGGCGUGCUUAACACAUGCAAGUCGAGCGGUAAGGCCCUUUCGGGGGUACGACGAGCGGCGAACGGGUGAGUAACACGUGGGUGACCUGCCCUCAGCUCUGGGAUAAGCCUGGGAAACCGGGUCUAUACUGGAUAUGACUCCAUGACGCAUGUUGGUGGGGUGGAAAGCCUUGUGCGGCUGAGGAUGGGCCCGCGGCCUAUCAGCUUGUUGGUGGGGUGAGGCCUACCAAAGGCGACGACGGGUAGCCGGCCUGAGAGGGCGACCGGCCACACUGGGACUGAGACACGGCCC